AGUGAACGCUGGCGGCAGGCCUAACACAUGCAAGUCGAACGGCCGCACAGUAAGAGCUUGCUCUUACGGGUGGCGAGUGGCGGACGGGUGAGGCAUACAUCGGAAUCUACUUUUUCGUGGGGGAUAACGUAGGGAAACUUACGCUACUACCGCAUACGACCUACGGGUGAAAGCAGGAGAUCUUCGGACCUUGCGCGAUUGAAUGAGCCGAUGUCGGAUUAGCUAGUUGGCGGGGUAAAGGCCCACCAAGGCAAGGAUCCGUAGCUGGUCUGAGAGGAUGAACAGCCAGACUUGAACUGAGGCACGGUCCAGACUCCUAAGGGAAGCAGCAGGGGGGAAUAUUGGACAAUGGGGGGAAGCCUGAUCCAGCCAGAGCGCGGGGGUGAAGAAGGCCUUCGGGUUGUAAAGCCUUUUUGUUGGGAAAGAAAAGCAUCAGGUUAAUACCCCGCUGUUCUGACGGUACCCAAAGAAUAAGCACCGGCUAACUUCGUG
This 492-nucleotide ribosomal RNA is filed under the name uncultured bacterium. RNAcentral describes it as "partial 16S ribosomal RNA". It matches the Rfam family "Bacterial small subunit ribosomal RNA", at positions 29 to 507 of the family's 1533-position model. The record is from RNAcentral.